Molecule: ribosomal RNA, 119 nt
Filed under: Helobdella robusta
Lineage: Eukaryota; Metazoa; Annelida; Clitellata; Rhynchobdellida; Glossiphoniidae
Source: RNAcentral
GUCUACGGCCUUAUCACGUUGAUAACGCCGGUUCUCGUCCGAUCACCGAAGUUAAGCAACGUCCAGCCUAGUUAGUACUUGAAUGGGUGACCGCCUGGGAAUACCGGGUGAUGUAGGCU